Molecule: long non-coding RNA, 355 nt
Organism: Arabidopsis thaliana (thale cress)
Lineage: Eukaryota; Viridiplantae; Streptophyta; Magnoliopsida; Brassicales; Brassicaceae
Product: other RNA
Exons: 1
Source: RefSeq
GGAGAGAGAGAGAGAGAAUAUAUAAAGAAGGAGGAGAAGAUUGGGGGAUUGAGAAACUUUAGACCUCGCUUUCUUGGACGCGUUCUUCUUUGCACAGAGACAUCGUUCUACCGACUUAUCAGAUAUAAGCGGAGUCUUCGUCGGUGAUAAGUAGGCUUCCUUAUAAGAGAGGUAGGUUAAGUUAUUAUCAAAUUGAGUGAUAAGUUGAUUUGGAGAUAGAGUGGCGGAUUCGAAAACAAAAUUCAAAUAGUGUGAAUAUUCUGUGCACACGUCCAGUCUGGUCCCCACAUUUUUCUCUCUCCUUUAUUAUGUCGCUCUCAGCUUUCGAUGCACUCUUCGUUUGGCUUUUCUCAUA